CGAACGCUGGCGGCGUGCUUAACACAUGCAAGUCGAACGGAAAGGCCCUGCUUUUGUGGGGUGCUCGAGUGGCGAACGGGUGAGUAACACGUGAGUAACCUGCCCUUGACUUUGGGAUAACUUCAGGAAACUGGGGCUAAUACCGGAUAGGAGCUCCUGCUGCAUGGUGGGGGUUGGAAAGUUUCGGCGGUUGGGGAUGGACUCGCGGCUUAUCAGCUUGUUGGUGGGGUAGUGGCUUACCAAGGCUUUGACGGGUAGCCGGCCUGAGAGGGUGACCGGCCACAUUGGGACUGAGAUACGGCCCAGACUCCUACGGGAGGCAGCAGUGGGGAAUAUUGCACAAUGGGCGGAAGCCUGAUGCAGCAACGCCGCGUGCGGGAUGACGGCCUUCGGGUUGUAAACCGCUUUCGCCUGUGACGAAGCGUGAGUGACGGUAAUGGGUAAAGAAGCACCGGCUAACUACGUGCCAGCAGCCGCGGUGAUACGUAGGGUGCGAGCGUUGUCCGGAUUUAUUGGGCGUAAAGGGCUCGUAGGUGGUUGAUCGCGUCGGAAGUGUAAUCUUGGGGCUUAACCCUGAGCGUGCUUUCGAUACGGGUUGACUUGAGGAAGGUAGGGGAGAAUGGAAUUCCUGGUGGAGCGGUGGAAUGCGCAGAUAUCAGGAGGAACACCAGUGGCGAAGGCGGUUCUCUGGGCCUUUCCUGACGCUGAGGAGCGAAAGCGUGGGGAGCGAACAGGCUUAGAUACCCUGGUAGUCCACGCUGUAAACGGUGGGUACUAGGUGUGGGGUCCAUUCCACGGGUUCCGUGCCGUAGCUAACGCUUUAAGUACCCCGCCUGGGGAGUACGGCCGCAAGGCUAAAACUCAAAGGAAUUGACGGGGCCCCGCACAAGCGGCGGAGCAUGCGGAUUAAUUCGAUGCAACGCGUAGAACCUUACCUGGGUUUGACAUGGAUCGGGAGUGCUCAGAGAUGGGUGUGCCUCUUUUGGGGUCGGUUCACAGGUGGUGCAUGGCUGUCGUCAGCUCGUGUCGUGAGAUGUUGGGUUAAGUCCCGCAACGAGCGCAACCCUUGUUCACUGUUGCCAGCACGUUAUGGUGGGGACUCAGUGGAGACCGCCGGGGUCAACUCGGAGGAAGGUGGGGAUGACGUCAAGUCAUCAUGCCCCUUAUGUCCAGGGCUUCACGCAUGCUACAAUGGCUGGUACAGAGAGUGGCGAGCCUGUGAGGGUGAGCGAAUCUCGGAAAGCCGGUCUCAGUUCGGAUUGGGGUCUGCAACUCGACCUCAUGAAGUCGGAGUCGCUAGUAAUCGCAGAUCAGCAACGCUGCGGUGAAUACGUUCCCGGGGCUUGUACACACCGCCCGUCAAGUCAUGAAAGUUGGUAACACCCGAAGCCGGUGGCCUAACCGUUGUGGGGGAGCCGUCGAAGGUGGGACUGGU
This 1435-nucleotide ribosomal RNA is filed under the name uncultured organism. RNAcentral's name for it is "16S ribosomal RNA". It matches the Rfam family "Bacterial small subunit ribosomal RNA". The record is from RNAcentral.